AAAAAUAUUUAUCUUUAUUUUGAACUAGUAGUUUAAUAAAGAAUGCUUGAUUGUUAAUCAAAUGG
RNAcentral lists this transfer RNA (65 nucleotides) under Mytilisepta virgata. RNAcentral's name for it is "tRNA-Asn". The record is from RNAcentral. Lineage: Eukaryota; Metazoa; Mollusca; Bivalvia; Mytilida; Mytilidae.